This 868-nucleotide non-coding RNA is filed under the name Lerista humphriesi. The record is from RNAcentral. Lineage: Eukaryota; Metazoa; Chordata; Lepidosauria; Squamata; Scincidae.
AGUUUUGGUCCUAAACUUGCCCUUGUUUUUUAUCAAAAUUAUACAUGCAAGCCUCCACGCACCAGUGAGAAUGCCCACCUUUUCCCCCAGAAAACUGGAGCAGGUAUCAGGAUACAACACCAACUUUAGCCAAAGACACCUUGCGUAUGCCACACCCACACGGGCCUUCAGCAGUAAUUAACAUUAAAGCAUGAGCGAAAGCUCGAUUUAAUUAUGAUAAACACGGUCGGUAAAUUUCGUGCCAGCCACCGCGGUUAUACGAAAGACCUAAAACAACGGCCAACGGCGUAAAGAGUGACUAGAGACACAAACAAUUAGGGGGGCACAGCGGCCAAGUUGUAAAAUACCCCUGCACGCUAGAACCACAACAAAAAUGCCUUUAAACUACUUUACCUCACGAAAGCUAAGAAACAAACUGGGAUUAGAUACCCCACUAUGCUUAGCCCUAAACACAGAUGGUACAAACACAAUACCAUCCGCCAGAGAACUACAAGCGAAAAGCUAGAAACUCUAAGGACUUGGCGGUGCUUCAAAUCAACCUAGAGGAGCCUGUCCUAUAAUCGAUACUCCACGUUUAACCCCACCCCUCCUAGCCAACCAGCCUAUAUACCGCCGUCGCCAGCCUACCCUGUGAAAGAACCAAAGUGGGCAAAAAAGUUUACAACUAACACGUCAGGUCAAGGUGUAGCACACGGAGCGGAAGAGAUGGGCUACAUUUUCUCAAAAAAAGAAAAUACGAAUGGUGUUCUGAAACACACACUUGAAGGCGGAUUUAGUAGUAAAAUAAACGAGAAUAAUUAUUUUAAACCUGCUCUGAAGCGCGCACACACCGCCCGUCACCCUCAUCACAUGUAACACAACACAACAU